UGGGAAUGGUCUCUCCUAGGGUGUGGAUU
RNAcentral lists this non-coding RNA (29 nucleotides) under Mus musculus (house mouse). The record is from RNAcentral. Lineage: Eukaryota; Metazoa; Chordata; Mammalia; Rodentia; Muridae.